This 773-nucleotide long non-coding RNA is filed under the name Brachypodium distachyon (stiff brome). RNAcentral describes it as "long non-coding RNA (BDIS_LNC005346)". The record is from RNAcentral. Lineage: Eukaryota; Viridiplantae; Streptophyta; Magnoliopsida; Poales; Poaceae.
CAGGCUAGCUCAGGCCAGUUAACGGUGAAUAACUCGAUUGAACUGGACUUUUUUUUUAGAGGACUUUUUUCUUUCUUUCUUUCUUUCUUUCUUUUUUAGCGGAAUUUUCUUUCGUUCUUAGACCAUUACGAUGGGAAUCAUGGGACUGUUAUAUCCAAAUGCUUCCAGCCCAGCCUUGAUUUUCCAAAGCAGGCCAGUGUGGUGGAUCUCGGGCCGAACCAUGAAGAUUACGGCCCGCUUCCCUGAAACCGUACGCGAGGCUGACGGGAACCGUUUUGGGCCAUUAGUGGGCUCAUGAGAAGAAGGUUUUUGAGCCGCAUCGGGCCUGCUAAUAGUCGGCAGAUCGGCGACGACGAGGUUCUCCAUGUCCUGUCAAAGUUUGGGCCUGGGGCCAAACUUUCCAUCGGCAUCACACUCGCGGCCCAUGUUCUUAACAACCUGGGUCAUGAAAUAAAGCCCAUGGACCGACUCGCAGUCUCGUUUGGAAAGAAGGAAAAAAAAACACGGGAACAGAGCUGAGCAGGAGUCGGACUCCGAGUCCGAGCUGAACUUGAGAGACAGGGAAUUCCUCCGCGUCCGUUACUCUCUCUCUCUCAAGGUAAAAAAAAAAGGAAGGCUCCUCCGCCGCGCGGCGCGUCUAUAAAUUACAGCCCAUCUCCUUCGCAUGUUGCAGCUAAUCCUUGACCCCUUCCCCAAUAUUCUUCACCCGGCCCCAUCAUCUACUACGUACUGCUAGCUCCAUCCAUAAUUACUCCGGUCGAUUUCAUCCAGCC